UGAAUACGAGAUGCUACGGCGUCGAAGCAGUCUAUGUCAUACUUCCAAGAAAGCUUGCACUGUCAUAAACAAAUAAUGCCUGUACCAUAACCGACACAGGUGGGUAGGUAGAGUAUACUAAGGGGCGCGAGAUAACUCUCUCUAAGGAACUCGGCAAAAUGACUCCGUAACUUCGGGAGAAGGAGUGCCUUAUUUAUAAGGUUGCAAUAACAAGAUCCAAGCAACUGUUUACCAAAAACACAGGUCUCCGCUAAGUCGUAAGACGAUGUAUGGGGGCUGACGCCUGCCCAGUGCCAGAAGGUUAAAGAAGUUGGUUAGCAUCCGCGAAGCUGAUAACUGAAGCCCUGGUGAACGGCGGCCGUAACAAUAACGGUCCUAAGGUAGCGAAAUUCCUUGUCGGGUAAGUUCCGACCCGCACGAAAGGCGUAAUGAUUUGGAUACUGUCUCGGAGAGGGGCUCGGUGAAAUAGACUUGUCUGUGAAGAUGCGGACUACCUGCACCAGGACAGAAAGACCCUAUGAAGCUUUACUGUAACCUGAAAUUGAAAUUGGACUUUACUUGCGCAGUAUAGGUGGGAGGCGUUGAGAAUAUUCUUGCGGGAUUAUUGGAGCCAUCAGUGAGAUACCACUCUUGUAAUGUUAGAUUUCUAACUUUGUAUCAUUAUCUGGUCAAAGAACAGUUUCAGGCGGGCAGUUUGACUGGGGCGGUCGCCUCCUAAACGGUAACGGAGGCGCACAAAGGUUUCCUCUGAACGGGUAGAAAUCGUAUCUAGAGUGUAAAGGCAUAAGGAAGCUUGACUGUGAGACCUACAAGUCGAGCAGGGACGAAAGUCGGUCUUAGUGAUCUGACGGUGCUGAGUGGAAAGGCCGUCACUCAACGGAUAAAAGUUACUCUAAGGAUAACAGGCUGAUCUCCCCCAAGAGUUCACAUCGACGGGGAGGUUUGGCACCUCGAUGUCGGCUCAUCGCAUCCUGGGGCGGUAGUACGUCCCAAGGGUUGGGCUGUUCGCCCAUGAAAGCGGUACGCGAGCUGGGUUCAGAACGUCGUGAGACAGUUCGGUCCAUAUCCGGUGUAGGCGUUAGAAUAUUGAGAGGAGCCUUCUUUAGUACGAGAGGACCGAGAAGGACAUACCUCUGGUGUACCAGUUAUCGUGCCAACGGUAAACGCUGGGUAGCUAUGUGUGGAGUGGAUAACCGCUGAAAGCAUCUAAGUGGGAAGCCCACCUCAAGAUUAGUAUUCUC
RNAcentral lists this ribosomal RNA (1241 nucleotides) under metagenome. RNAcentral describes it as "bacterial LSU rRNA". It matches the Rfam family "Bacterial large subunit ribosomal RNA", at positions 1564 to 2815 of the family's 2925-position model. The record is from RNAcentral.